UACGUAGGGUGCAAGCGUUGUCCGGAAUUAUUGGGCGUAAAGAGCUCGUAGGCGGUCUGUCGCGUCGGCUGUGAAAACCUGGGGCUUAACUCCGGGCUUGCAGCCGAUACGGGCAGACUAGAGUUCGGCAGGGGAGACUGGAAUUCCUGGUGUAGCGGUGAAAUGCGCAGAUAUCAGGAGGAACACCGGUGGCGAAGGCGGGUCUCUGGGCCGAAACUGACGCUGAGGAGCGAAAGCGUGGGGAGCAAACAGG
This 253-nucleotide ribosomal RNA is filed under the name uncultured bacterium. RNAcentral describes it as "partial 16S ribosomal RNA". It matches the Rfam family "Bacterial small subunit ribosomal RNA", at positions 524 to 776 of the family's 1533-position model. The record is from RNAcentral.